CCCCUGCUGAGUGCAUGUCCCUCAGUACCAUAUUCACCCUUCUCUUGAAAACCUCCAUUCUGUCUCCAGGGUCUCUGUCAUGGACAGCUUUUGGCAAGUCAUUCCAUUUUCCUGGUGAAGCAAAAAUGAAGAUUUCCGGACAUCCAGCUUUGGUGUUGGAGAUAAGUUCCAGUGCUUGGUCUGAACCAAGCUUAUAAAGCUUUUCCUGUUCACAGUCUCAGUGCUAAGGAAGCAGCAGAGAGACUCUCCAUUCUCACACGUGAAGCAAAAUCCUGCAGUCAAGAAGCAAAAUGUGCACGAAGUUUCAUCCCCAUUGAAGCAGUCUUGGGGCAAAGGAG
RNAcentral lists this long non-coding RNA (338 nucleotides) under Numida meleagris (helmeted guineafowl). RNAcentral's name for it is "lncRNA (ENSNMEG00000010178.1)". Lineage: Eukaryota; Metazoa; Chordata; Aves; Galliformes; Numididae. The record is from RNAcentral.